UAACUGGGUAAUACCUGAUACCCCUUUUUAGUCGUAAACGACAUCCAAAUGGGCACACUCUCUCGAUCCCUCGCAGCUCUCACUCUCUCCCAAUCCCUCAAAACCAAUGCUGAAUUCAGAUCAAUUCACGUAAUGAUCUCAUUUACCCUUGCAUGGAGGGUAACAACUCUCUCUCCCAAAUAGUGGUCUCCUCUUCCUCUUUCACAGCAGCCGAACUUCACGUGGGACUAGCUCAGAAAGAUUGAUAUCGCCCUACCAACCAGCUCAAUCGCAGUGGUGCUAGUUCAAGUUCUUGAACUUCAGGAAGAAUGGAUAAAGCUUGGUUGGAGAGACCACUUUGUCACUGUGGGAUUCCAUCAAAGCUACUGAUUUCUGCGAAAGAUACUAGUUUUGGCAGACGGUUUUCAAUUGUCCAAAGUAUAAGAUGGACAAACAAUGCAGAUUUUUUCAAUGGCUUGAUUUUGAUAUGGACAGAACAGUUGUUGCAAAAUGACAUUGGAGUUAGCUCAAAGAAGAAAUGACUGGAUCAAUCAAGAACGUAGGUUCAUUGAAGCAAAAUACAAAGUUAUGGAAAAGAAGUACAAGGAAACAUUAAAAGUUUUAUUCUUGUCAUGGUUUUGUAUUGUUUUGCUUUGUGCUGUAAUUGUUUUAACUUUUGAAUGAUAAUCAUGUACUAAGGACAGUUGGUUUAUUGUACUUCUUAUUGGAGAUGUAUUUUAAGAUAUGUUAAUCAAUUAAAAUCUUCAAUAUCAUGGAUUCAUAUUGA
Molecule: long non-coding RNA, 766 nt
Organism: Juglans regia (Persian walnut)
Lineage: Eukaryota; Viridiplantae; Streptophyta; Magnoliopsida; Fagales; Juglandaceae
Exons: 2
Source: RefSeq, a predicted model, not a curated record